Molecule: long non-coding RNA, 670 nt
Organism: Neodiprion fabricii
Lineage: Eukaryota; Metazoa; Arthropoda; Insecta; Hymenoptera; Diprionidae
Exons: 3
Source: RefSeq, a predicted model, not a curated record
ACCUGGUUAAGUAACUGAAAUUAUAAGUAACGUUAUUGUAAUGAUUCACGUUUCGCAAAGUCAGUUAUUUCGCUAUUUUAGGAAUCUAUGAAUCUCUGAAAUGGACCAAGUCAUAAUGAGACAAAGCAAGAAAAUCAUAUUUUCAAAACUUAGCCACUUCAAAGUCACUACAAAAUUUCAAAAUAGUAAUUUUACCCUCCAGUGUUUCGUUACGCUAACGUUAUUAACUUCAGCCUCAUGAAUGAAAUACCUAUACGUUUUAAUUUCCGAUUUAUUUACGACCUGUUGUCUACGUGUUGGAUCGCGGCAUGUCCAACCGUUUGGGCUUAUAUUGGCGCGCCGCCCGCCAGGCGCCAGAAUUUGUUCGGAUUGGAGUGGUCACAGAUCGCCUUGCCCGUCCACUCUCAGCGCCAGCAAACUACCCGUUGAAUAAUACGUGCGUUACACCGAAAACAUUUGCAAGUGGAUGCUCGCUGCCGAUUACUGAUACCUACGAUACGCCAAGAUGAGGACCUUCAACGUCCUGACAACUUUUCUUUUCACUGGGAUUUUGUGCCUGACCUUCGGACAAAGAAAUGAUUCAGCGGCGAGUAUCGUAUAUAGAAAUGCACUACAGGUCGUGAGAGAUGUGGUUAUGAGGGUGACUAAUGAAGACAUGAUCAAAGACCUG